UCCAUUGUUGAACCUGCUGAAGGAAUCCUUCAAAGGAUCUUUUAUUAUGCCCUAGGGCUGACCAGCUUUAUUUUUCUGCUUGAAGCAUUUGCUUCUCUAUGAGACAAGGGAUCAGGCAGGGAAGAAGGGUUUUUAUUUUUCCUGCAAUGGCAGCUACUCCCUCCUCCAUGCCUUCAUCAGCAGAGGAGGUCCUCCUGUCUCUUAUCCUGUUCUCUUGAACAGCCACUGGAGAUCUAUGGAAAAGAGCUUAAGAAAGGCCAUGUGAAGACACGGUGAGAAGACGGCCAUCUGAAAGUCAGGAGGAGUAUCCUCUUGAGAACUGAAUCAAGCUAGUACUUUGAUCUUGGACUUCCAGCCUCCAGAACUGCAGUGUUGGUCUGCAAGCUUCAAGAGCCAGUGACCCUGACUGCCAAGUGAUUUGCCGAAGGGAAUUAUGGUUUUGCAUUUGAUGGUUUCCAGGAACUGCUAAGAGUGAGAUCAUCCCUGAAGCAGUGACUGCCAGAGGAAGGCGAGAGACAUAUGGUGGCCUUACAGGAGAAGAACAUGUCUCAGAGAGCUCCUACUCCUCCAGUUUUGGCCCCAGAAUGAAACACAGGAAGAAGACCUGAAUUUGAUUUGCAUUUCAAAGUAGAACUGUCCCAGCUGACAUGAAGACUGAUGAAUAAGGAAUAAGUAUUUAUUGUUGUAUGUCACUGAUAUUUCUGUGGUCGAUUAUGUGUAGAAGAGCUGACUUGUACACUUACAUAAACUUGAAGAAGACUGAAUUUAGAAAUGGAGUUUCUGCAUAUGGUUAUGUCUGAGUAGCUCCAAGUGGAUCAUCCCUCCCACAGAUAACAACUCUAAACUCUGGACAAAAUAUAAAAAUAACAAUUUCCUGAAUAUCAAAGAGCAACCCAAAUCAUGCAGAUACUGGGUAUUAAGGCUGAAUUUGUCUACACAUCAAACAUGUACCUAGGAGGAAUAUUUGCUCUGUGCCAUCAGCAGUGUAGAAACUAGAAUAACCAGCUGCCGUAUUGUGAGCUGCAUUAUGAAGAGAACCAUGUGGCAAGACACUGAGGGAGAUCUCCAGCCAACAACAACUCAUAAGCAACUAAAUCUUGUGAUGAACCACUGGAGUCAUCUGGAAAGAGGAUCCUCUCACCUUCAAUCUUUGAAAUGGCUAGAGCUCUGAUGACAGUUGGAUUACAGCCUUAGGAGAAACAGAGAGCCGGGGAAAUUUGUGCCCAGGUUCCUUUCCCACAGACAUUGUCAGAUAAUAAAUAUCUCUGCGUUUUUAAGCUUC
This 1282-nucleotide long non-coding RNA is filed under the name Homo sapiens (human). Its description in RNAcentral is "HSALNT0323162". Lineage: Eukaryota; Metazoa; Chordata; Mammalia; Primates; Hominidae. The record is from RNAcentral.